RNAcentral lists this ribosomal RNA (382 nucleotides) under uncultured eukaryote. Its description in RNAcentral is "partial 18S ribosomal RNA". It matches the Rfam family "Eukaryotic small subunit ribosomal RNA", at positions 592 to 976 of the family's 1831-position model. The record is from RNAcentral.
CAAUAGCGUAUAUUAAAGUUGUUGCAGUUAAAAAGCUCGUAGUUGGAUUUCUGGUUGAAGCGACCGGUCGGGCGUUGAUUCGUCUGCACUGGAGUCGGUUUUGGCCAUCCUCUAGGAAAGUGCGUCUGGUAUUAAGUUAUCGGGCGUAUGAUCCUGGUCUUUUACUGUGAAAAAAUUAGAGUGUUUAAAGCAGGCCUUCGCCUUGAAUACAUUAGCAUGGAAUAAUAAGAUAGGACUUUGGUCUAUCUUGUUGGUUUGCAGACCGAAGUAAUGAUUAAUAGGGAUAGUUGGGGGUAUUUAUAUUCCGAUGUCAGAGGUGAAAUUCUUAGAUUUUCGGAAGAUAAACUUAUGCGAAAGCAUUUACCAAGGAUGUUUUCAUUAA